UCGGGUCAAACGUGUCUGGGGCCGCCGCUCGCACGCACGCUGCUUGUCUCGUCCGCUGCGCCCGCGUCGUGCGUUUAUGGGAGCAGCUGCGCAGGGCUCGGCCGGUGCAUGUGUACCUGGCUUAUGCACCAGCGUCUCUCCUAUCGCGAUGACAGGUGGGCCGGUCCUGCUACUGGUCCCGCUCGUCAGCUGCGCGGACUGCGUCAGGGUGGUUGGUUGUGCGGACUGCGCCGGGUUGGCUGGGGCAUGUUCGCGUGGACCCCUGGCUGACUGAUGCAUCGUGUGCGCGUCCUGCGUGCCUCACCUCCGUCUGCGGUUGGAGAGAGGAGAUGGACUGGAAAAAUAUCUCGCGAGCCCACCUCGCGCGUCUCCAUCGACCUAGCCGCCUCCAUGCUCGUGCAUCCUCCCGCGUCAAUGGCGCCCAAACCUCCUCAUCUCGGAUCCCGUGGGCCGAGGUGCGGGCAUGGAGGCGAGCAUCCCUGGCGGCCGCGGCGGCCUACAGGCAAAGGGUGACGGCGGCGGCGGCGCUCGAUUAGAUCCGCGGGAGAGAGAGAGGAUGAGAGGGAGAGAUAAGGAAGAAGAUGAGAGAGAGAGAGAGAGAGAGAGAGAGAGAGAGAGAGAGGAAAGGGGAGAGGAAGGGCUUCUACGUCACCGCUCUCUGGAUGCACGCCAUCCACCCGCGCACGCUCGCCACCAACCUCGCCGGCUUCACCAGGUUCCUCCACGACCCCCGCGAUGAGCGCAAGGACCAGGACGACGUCGCCGCGGCGGCCCCGGGGGCAAGAGCGGCAAGCGGCGUUGCGUCGACGGCCUUGCCGCCGCCGCGGCUGAGGCCGCCAAGGCCCGGCGCGAGAAGGAGGCGGAGCACGCGCAGGCCGUGCUCGCGCGCUACGACUCUGACGAGGCCUUCCGCAACCUCUACGACAGCGUCGCCGACCUCUUCGUCUGGCUGCUCAAGUCGGGCCUGGAGCACCUGCGCGCGGGCAACACGGCCAAGAUCGUGUUCGCCGCCAAGUGCGCUCGUCGUACGCAUGGGUCUCCUUUGCUCCAUGGGUGCCGCUGGCUGAGGAUGGAGCAGCAGGCAUAGAAGAAAUCUACAACCAGUUUCUCUUGGCUGCGCCAUCUUCCGCUGACAGUAACUCUACACAACAGCCUGCUAAGAUAGACAACUUUGGCGGAUGGGGAGGCAACUUUUGAAAUAAGAGGCAACUUUAAUACCAUGGGGGGGAGGGGGGAGGGGCAACUUUGGUGCUACGAGAAGCAACUUUGUGCUUUCUCUCAUGCCUUGCUCAACUGCACAAUUGUACAAUCAAAUGCUUAUCUCACAUGAGGAAGAAAACUUAGUGUCGCAUGUUACGGAGAUACAAAUAUAUAGAUGGCCAUAAAGAAAUUCCAUUCGAAGCUGUCUAACUGAUUGAGUGAGCUGAAACCUGUCCGAGCCAAUUUAUUUACCUUUGGAUAUUAAUAUCUCAUCUUGCUCCGAUACCAAACUACUUGGUUUUCUAGGUGCACCAGGAGAAGUCUGAUGAUAAGGCUGAAGCUCUUUCAUCUUCUAUUGAUGGAAAGAAUGAUAAGGAUGACCAGGGGUAGAUGACCAAAAAAAGGGAGCUGUGCUACUGGAAAGGGGGCUGGGACAGCAAAGAAAUCAAGGCAGUUACUACUCUGCGCCAUCUAUGCAGAGAUUAAUUACCUAUAGUAGAGAGCAAGGGACAUAUAAGAAAUCUCCAGGCAGCUUCGCUUAGAUGCAUCAUCUUCUGCUAGGACCUAGGAGUCAGCUUGAAGAAUGACCUUCUCAGGUUAAUUCUUUAUAGAGAACAGGAGACUGCAACUGACAUGCUGGAUGGUGAAUAACCAAAUUUGUGGACAAAGACAGAUAGUUCAUCGCAAGGGGUGGUAUUUAGGAUAUAUAUACACAAAAGAGGAAACUUUCUUUUGUACAGAACCAAAUUAUAUGAUGUAAUUGACCACUAUUUCUAAGAAAUGUUCAUCGUGUAUUAAGUACAUUUUAUUGUGUCACUUUUUUUUGAGGGGUAGCUUUAUUCAUCAAACACCACAAAGUGUGCAAUGGAGUUCAUCAAACCUGGCUUUAUUGUGUCA
Triticum aestivum (bread wheat) is the source of this 2097-nucleotide long non-coding RNA. RefSeq lists it as uncharacterized. The transcript has 8 exons. Lineage: Eukaryota; Viridiplantae; Streptophyta; Magnoliopsida; Poales; Poaceae. The record is from RefSeq and is a predicted model, not a curated record.